This 253-nucleotide ribosomal RNA is filed under the name uncultured bacterium. RNAcentral's name for it is "partial 16S ribosomal RNA". It matches the Rfam family "Bacterial small subunit ribosomal RNA", at positions 524 to 776 of the family's 1533-position model. The record is from RNAcentral.
UACGUAGGCAGCAAGCGUUGUUCGGAUUUACUGGGCGUAAAGGGCGCGUAGGCGGCGCAACAAGUCACUUGUGAAAUCUCCGGGCUUAACCCGGAGCGGCCAAGUGAUACUGUCGUGCUAGAGUGCGGAAGGGGCUACUGGAAUUCUCGGUGUAGCGGUGAAAUGCGUAGAUAUCGAGAGGAACACCUGCGGCGAAGGCGGGUAGCUGGGCCGACACUGACGCUGAUGCGCGAAAGCCAGGGGAGCGAACGGG